CGAGGUGGGGGGCAGAGAUGAUGACUCGGCUCCAGCCCUCGGGGGUAGGGUGCUGGGGCCCCAGGGGCUCUUGCUGGACCACUCCCGGCCCCGGGAGGCGCCCGACACCCACGAUCCUGUCUUUGAGGGAGAUCAGCUCCUGUUCCUCUUUCUUGCGGUUCUCGAAAUGCGCCUCAAUCAGCGUCUGCAACUCGUUCAGGUCCUUCUCCAUGCGCUUCCGGUGGAUGUCCUGCGGGGGGGCGGGGCUCAGAGGCUGCCCACCGCACCCAUGCCAGGGGGGAGGGGCCUGGGUCCAGGAGAGCAGCUGGGGCCGGACCCAGGACACUGUCGGGCACUGUGUGCCCCCCGCCCGUGACCUCCCCUCCGCCAGGAGGUCCUGAGCUCUCUCCCAGGGGGCCUGCCCUCCCCAAGCCCCCACUCACGUCAAAGUCCACUCUCUCUCCGUCGGGGAUCUUGGGCGGCACCAGGUUGGGCAUGAACGGCCUGGUGGGCAGAAGGAGGCGUGAGCACCAAGCCCUCCCUGGACCAAGGGGCUGCGGUGCUUGGGGGGGCAAGGUCCUCUGCUCCCUGCAGAAACGCGGCCGCGCAGCCACCAGCACGGUGACACCAGCAUGGCGUGCGUACAGGAACCCCCAGGCCGCUCAGCGCCAGGGUCCCACGGCACCUGCACGUGCCCUCACGUUUACCCACAGAGUAGGAACCACUCAUCGCACUCAAGGAAGCCGAGACUCUGAGACACAGCGCCUGGCUCAAAACCACCAGCCAGGAAGUAGAGAAGCUGCACAGAUGGACACAGUGCUGACGGGGGCAGGGCCCAGAACUGGUGAUGGAGUGUGGGUGGAUUUCAGCCCCCAUCGCCCCCCCCCGACCGCACACACCCUGGCAGCAGACGGCAGAGACCCUUGUGCAGUGCACAACCUGUAAAACCAUACGUGGCAGUCUCUGCUCGCUGUACCACCAUGCACUGCGGUCCUGUCCCAGUUGUCCUCCCGCAUGAGCCCUCUGCUCCCAGGGCCUCGCCACUCACCUGGGCUUGGGCUUGGACUCCUCCACUGGGCCAUCUGGAGAGAAGGGAAGCACACGGCCACGGGGUCAGGAGGCCUGGAUCUGGUCCCACUCUGCCCCUGAUGAGCCGGGCACCUGUAGGCCUCCGUUUCCCCAUCCACCUGUGAGUCCCUCCCGGCCCCGGGUUGCAGGAACACCCAAAGAAAUAAGCCGCAGGGUUGCAAACCCCACACUCCCUCUCGGGGCUGCUCCCCGGGGGAGCCUCGGGAGACGCACGCACGCACGGCCCUCUCGUUCAGCAGUGCUGGCCUCACGGUGAGGAGGGGUCCAGGGCACGGUCCCUGGGGGUCCUGGCCCCAGAGUCCCCUCCCGAGCCUCUGCCUCCUCGGUUGCCCCCAGACCUCCUGGCGGCCCGGGACCAGGAAGCUGAUGGGGCGUGACCCUGAGACCCACCGGCUGCGCCCCUCCAGAGGCGUGAGUGGGGCCACCUGCGCCCCUGGGGAAGGCCGCCAGCCAACAGUGACCGCAGCAGUGACCCACCCCACGACCAUCCAUGCCUGGGAUCUCCUCCCCCAGACUCCCCACCCUCGAGUGGUUCAGCUGGGCUCCAGGCGCCUCGUGUGUGGACGUGGCUGUGACCACUGCCCUGCCCUGCCCUGCCUGGGCCCUUGGACAUCGCCCCUCUCCCCUGGGCACCACCGGGGCAGCUUCUCUGCAAGGAGGAGCCCGACCUCCAAACACGCAUGGUCACCGAGUUGUGUCCUGCCUUCCCCAGCCCCUCCCCCGCCUCCCUGGGGUCUCCCCCAAGCUGCUGGAGGGGCUCCCCGGCCCCCCAGCGCCUCCUCCCAACGCCCAGCAGGCCUCACCUUCAGCCUCUUUAUCUUCGUCUUCUCCACCUUCUAAAGAGAACGUGAGAAAUCAGUAAAGGUCCUGGUUGCGAGCUCAGACCCCUGCCAGGAGCCUCCCCGCAACAGGUCCUCGGCCAGUUGUGCCCUGUGGGGGUCUGGGGUCCGGAGCUGUCUGUCUGCACCUGCCCUGGGCCCCAGACCACCGGGACCAGAGGGGCACGUGGCCAGCGUUUACUGACAGGGCGGCCGAGGGCUGAGCCCCGACAGGACGAGUGGCCGCCCAGGCUGCAAAGCGCGGCCCAGGCGGAUUUCUUGCUGCUGUAGGAGUGGCUCUGGGGCUCUUGCCACCCCGGGCUCCAGGACAGAGCCCCUCGCACCCUCAGCCUGGGCGGAGCCUCACCUUCUGUGUUGGUCUCCUCCACGUCAGUCCCGCCUCCAGCCUCUUCUUCCACUUCCUCCUCCUGUUCUGGAGAAGUGAACCAGACACAGUGAACACACUCAUGCUGGCAGGCAGAGCCCGGGGCGGAGGUGUGGGGAGGGGGCCAGCGACAUCCAGGUUCCACGUGAAUUUGGGGGUGACUGAUGUGACAAGACGGGGGCUACUCUGUUCUUGGUUUAAACCAGAAGUCCGCAAACUAUGGCCCAGUCUGGCCCCCAGACUGUUUCUAAAUAAAGUUUUAUUGGAGCACGGCCCAAGCUGCUUUCACGCAACAACAGGGUUCAGCGGCUUCCACAGGGACCAGGUGGCCACAAAGCCUAAAACAUUUACUAUCAGCUCCUUCUCAGGGGCCUGGAGACCAGCUCUGCACCUGGAGGCCUCUGGGAAGGCCAGGGGGGUGCUGGGCAGCACCAGGGAAGGGGUGGGGGCUGUCUACCGGGCUCUUUCUGUCGACUCAGCCCCCCUUCCCCAUCCCGUCCCCCAGUGCGGCACCACAGGGGUCAGGGGAGCGCCUGUCCCGGGCUCAGACCCUGGAGACCCUUCAUCUGUAUCUGAAAGAGACCAAAGCAGGACUGCGUGUGGGGGAAGGAGCUGCCCCGCAUGUGGACGUAUGUACGGUCCAAGGAGUCAGGGGGUUUCUGUUUUCAUCCACUUGCUUGGCAGGGUGUAGACCCCGCCCCAGUCAGGCACUCCGAGUGGAUAGACACAUUCCACAGCGUGGCGCUAGGCACGGGGAUCCGCCUGCAGGGGGUGCUGAUGAAGACCUUGACUGAGGCUCUACAUGUGGUGGACUCCU
Lagenorhynchus albirostris (white-beaked dolphin) is the source of this 3088-nucleotide RNA transcript. RefSeq lists it as uncharacterized. The transcript has 2 exons. The record is from RefSeq and is a predicted model, not a curated record. NCBI's taxonomy places the organism in Eukaryota, Metazoa, Chordata, Mammalia, Artiodactyla, Delphinidae.